ACAAUAAACUAUGUGACUUCAUGCUAAAAGAUGAUACAUUUUGCCAAGCAUAUACUUUACCUCAAAAUUAACAAAAUAAAUAAUAAUCAUAAAGCUAUAGUAAGUUGAAUAGGACAAAAUGAAGAAAGAAAUGGUUCUGAUAAAACAUUCGUGAUUUUUUUAUGAAUCAGACACUAUGUUAUCUUAUUCAUUCUUUGCAAUAACUGUAAGAGGAAGGUAUUAUUAUAAUAUUUUUAUUGUAAAUCAAGAUCAAGUAAAUUUCCCAGGUCACACUAACUGACAGAUAAGGAAUUCACGCCCAGGUAUUUCUGUCUUUCUAUGAACAACAUAGCCCUGAAUGUACAGCUAAGGAAAAAGGCCACAGACGUUAUUGAUAUAAUAUCCAAGACAUCUCAUAACAGAUUGACCUCAAGCCAAUAAACAUAAAGACACUGAAGCUUGCAGUUAGCUUCCCCCCCCUCAGAUUUUCCUGAGGAGUUAGUUUCUUUUUCACUUUAUUUAUUUUAUAUAAAGCUAAGAGAUCACUUUUUAAAGCAUAAAACUGACAGGUAAAUGAGAAAAUUUCCAUGAUAGUUGAAAUUUUUAAGCAAUUUUGAAAACCAUACUUUUCCAAGUUGCUUUUUUUUUAAGCUAAAAAAGACAUUUUGUUAAUGGAUUCAACUCUGGAAACUGAAUCCUAAUUUUUUUCUGUUUUUUUGUUUGUUUGUCUGUAGUAUUUUUCUAUUACUGUUAGAUAAUGCACCAGAGUUUAUUUUUGGAGGCAAAGGUUAUGAGAUUGAUGGACUGGCCACAAUAAAGAACAAUCUCAUCUUGUGUCUUUAUAUAAAGGUUAUUUAUUCCUUGCUCUGGAUAUUAAGAUGGUCUCUCUCUCUCAAAGAAGACCGUACAUAUUGCACCAUUUCUACAUUAAAGCUGCAUCUUUACAGGAAACAGGCAGAUUGUUUAACCAAUGAUAUACCUGACUUCGUUCCAAGCCAAACAACACUGCCUUUUUAUUUUUGCCCAUGCCGCAGGCUAUCUGAAAGUAUUAGAGUUAAUGUGCAAUCAGGUAAGUAAACCCAUAUUACAUAUCUGUAAUUUUCCUCCAGUAGAAAGAAAAUAUUACAUUACAAGCCUCCAUAAUUGCAUUCAAAUGUAAUCAAAUACAAAAGUUUAAGAUCCCAAAUCCUUUGAGUUACAAGAUCUCUUUUUCUAUACAUUUAACCAAUCUUAUAGCUGCAAAAAGAAGUUGAAAUAAUUCUCAAGGCACUAAAAAAAAUAACAAGAUUGCCCUAUGCUGUAAUUGCCAGCCCCAGGCUCUAAUUCUUUUAUAGCACUGUCUGCAGCAGCCAUUUACGUGCUCAGGCAACAAAGCCCUGGACAGGGAUGCAUUUACAAAACAUGUAUUUGUAGCUAGGAAAAUAGCCAUUUGAAACUAAAUAAAGUUUCUUUGAUUGGGGUGUUGGGUGAAAACUAAUACUGUAAUAAACAGAAGUAGAACUUCUUUUUUGAUCUAUGAAUCAAGAACACAAGACUAAAGAGUUCUUGCUUAGCAUUAACAUUAAGGGAAUCUGAAUUAAAAGAAAAAGUCUUAGAACACUCAUCAAAACUAUGAAGAGGAUUAAAGCUUGGAAAAUUUAAAGUGUAUUACGUUAAAAAUAACUUUAUUUAUUGUGGCCUGCUUCCUUUCUUCCUUUAAUUUCUCUUUCUUUCUUCCUUCCUUCCUUUCUUUCUUUUUCUUUCUUUCUUCCUUCCUUCCUUCCUUUUUCUUUCUUUCUUUCUCUCUUUCUUUCUCUCUUUCUUUCUUUCUCUCUCUCUUUCUUUCUUUCUUUCUCUCUCUUUCUCUUUCUUUCUUUCUCUCUCUCUUUCUUUCUUUGUUUUUCAUCAUAGGGAAAUUGCAGAACCACAUGAAAAAUAAGGAUGAGAAAUGAGCAUAGAUGCUACUGAACAAUGUCAAGGCCAUCUGCUUUAUUCUAGACUGCCCAUGGGGAAACAUUCCGAAUUUGUAAAGCAGGCGGAGAUAGCAUGCUAAAAUGUUAGACAACUACUUGGCCAUGAAAGAUAUUCCUCUGCAUUCCUCCAGUUCUAUGAAUUAUAGAUUCAUUUGAUUUCAACAUUUUCACAUUUAAAAUAUACAUCCUGUCUUCACACUAAGAUUUCUUCCUAUGAGAAGUUGUUCUUAAAUGAUGCAUUCUCCCAAGAAUGAUCAUAAAGAUUGGCCAAAACCUGUGCUAAACUAUGCUUCCCUGCCUUCCAGCUCUUUGGAUGCAUUUAAGAAAAUGUAUGGCAAUCGUGGGACAAGAUCCUAGAGAGAAGCGAAGCACAUUGAGAUGACUCCUACAGGAAAGCCACUGAUUUUCCUCUUGAGAACUUGCUGAUUCAGAUUGUGGGACAUAGAGUUGCAUGGGGCUGCCUGGAGCUUAAAAUGGUCUUUCUCUGCCAGGAAAACCAAAACUGGAGGUUCAGCUUCCCAGGUCAGCCAUGAAAUGAGGGACCAAUAUCUGGAAGAAAGGGAGCCACGGGAAUAUCUAAGGCAAAAUGCAAUAACUGAAAUCAAGAAUUUAAUGAUAUGUUUAAUAGUAAACUAGACAAAGCAAAGAGGAGGAUGAAUGAAUUACAACGCAAGUUAGCAAAAAAAUGGGCAGACUAAAACACAGAGAAAAAAGGACUGGGAAAACAGAACAGAAGACAAGAGCCACAUGAGACAUUGUAAAAUGAUCUGCUGUAACUGGAAUCACAGAAUAGAAAUCAGACACCAAUAUAAUUAUGUCUUAAAAUGUUGAAGUAAUAUGUUUUCAAUCCUAGAAUUAUAUAUCUAGUUAAAAUAUCCUUUUAAAAAUGAAGGUGAAAAAAAAAGGUAGAUCAAACAAAAGCUGAGAGAAUUGGUCAUCAACUGAUACACACUAAGAGAAAUACUAAAGAUAGCUUUUCAAGGAGUUCCCGUCGUGGCGCAAAGGAAACGAAUCUGACUAGGAUCCAUGAGGAUACAGGUUCAAUCCCUGGCCUCUCUCAGUGGGUUAAGGAUCUGGAGUUGCCAUGAGCUGUGGUGUAAGUUGCAGACACAGCUCUGAUCUGGUAUUGCUGUGGCUGUGGUUGUAGGCCAGCUACAGCUCUGAUUCAACCCCUAGCCUGGGAAUCUCCAUAUGCCAUGGGUACAGACCUAAAAAGCAAAAGCAAAAAGAUAGCUUUUCAGUCAGAAGAAAUAAGAUUGCAGAUGAAAGCACCAGAAAGCAGGAAAACAGAGUUGCCAUUGUGGUUUAGUGGAAACAAAUCUGACUACUACCCGUGAGGUUUUGGGUUCGAUCCUUGGCCUCACUUAGUGGGUUAAGGAUCAGUGCUGCAGUGAGCUGUGGUGUAGGUCAUAGACGCAGCCUAGAUCCUUCUUUCCUGUGUCUGUGGUGCAGGCUGGCAGCUGCAGCUCCAGUUUGACUCCCUAGCCUGGGAACUUCAUAUGCCACAGGUGUGGCCCUAAAAACUAUGUUUAUCUUCUUUA
RNAcentral lists this long non-coding RNA (3472 nucleotides) under Sus scrofa (pig). RNAcentral's name for it is "lncRNA (ENSSSCG00005028971.1)". Lineage: Eukaryota; Metazoa; Chordata; Mammalia; Artiodactyla; Suidae. The record is from RNAcentral.